UACGGAGGGUGCAAGCGUUAUCCGGAUUCACUGGGUUUAAAGGGUGCGUAGGUGGGCUGGUAAGUCAGUGGUGAAAUCCCCGAGCUUAACUUGGGAACUGCCAUUGAUACUAUCAGUCUUGAAUACCGUGGAGGUCAGCGGAAUAUGUCAUGUAGCGGUGAAAUGCUUAGAUAUGACAUAGAACACCAAUUGCGAAGGCAGCUGGCUACACGGAUAUUGACACUGAGGCACGAAAGCGUGGGGAUCAAACAGG
RNAcentral lists this ribosomal RNA (253 nucleotides) under uncultured bacterium. Its description in RNAcentral is "partial 16S ribosomal RNA". It matches the Rfam family "Bacterial small subunit ribosomal RNA", at positions 524 to 776 of the family's 1533-position model. The record is from RNAcentral.